Molecule: long non-coding RNA, 4177 nt
Organism: Cavia porcellus (domestic guinea pig)
Lineage: Eukaryota; Metazoa; Chordata; Mammalia; Rodentia; Caviidae
Exons: 3
Source: RefSeq, a predicted model, not a curated record
CUUGUCAGGACAACAGUCUGCAGAUUCUCUCCUCACUGCCUGCUGACUCGGUUGCUUGUUCUGCAUUGCUUCCUUCAGAAAGUCUAGUGACACAGGCGCCCCUCUCAGCAAAGAAGACUUCAGUCUGACCCUUGUUCUCUGAGCAGACAAUGUAACUCCAUGGAAGACUCAUCCCCACGACAUAUGAAGGCAAAAACUUCGUCAGUUUGUUUUGGCAGGCCUGGCCUCAGAACUUUUCCAAAACAAAAUUAAUAAAUCACAUUCUUUUUAAAAAGAAAAAUGCAACCUAAAAUAAUGCAUUUUUCUCUACAGCAGUAGCCUGAUGUAAGCGUGAUGCUUUCUAUGCUAGAUGACAUGUGGGCUUUAUUAUGGAGAAGAAAUGGAUUAUUUCAGCUCAUUUUGUUUUGUUUGGUAACAAGUAUAGUGAGAUGUAAAUCUAAAAACCACACAGUUCACUCAGACUUGGUUUCAUAUACAAGUUUCUCAAUUUCUAUAGGGCUCAGUCUUCUUGUCAAUAGAAUGGGUAUAAUAACAAGUACAAUCUUUUGUUUUACUGUGUAAAUUAAAUAGUUAUGCUCAAUCUAUUCAAAAGACAAAUAAAUAAAAGCAGUAUAUAUCAAAACAGUAAGUUUUCUAUUUUUACACACUCACCUUUGUCACUGAGUUUUAUAAUAAUCAGAGCUCUGCUUCUGAUUUCCCAUUUUAACAGACUAGAAAUCUUAAUCCUGCCAAUUUAUGGUAUUUUCAGAUACAAAUUUAGCUCAGUUGAGGACCUCAUUAAUCUCUUCUGAUUAAAAUCUGUCAGUGAAAGACUUUCUUCUUUCCCCUGUCUUGCAAUGGACUCGUGUUCACAGGAGAGCCUGUAAUAUGGAGAUGAACACUGCCAGAGCACAGCCUCCUCUCUGGUCUCCCGAAAUGAGCAGUGCGAGGGGCUGGGGACUCCAGGGCACGCGCUUGCUGCACUUCUGAUGCCCUCCUAAAUGUUCAAGAGCACUGUCAUUUAAUACACAAGAAUGAGAAAAACAACCUGACAUCUGGAAACUGGCCUGACACUUCCAACUUGAUUUCGCUGUCACCGGAAACCAACCUGGCACUUAGAGAUGGGCCGCAAUCUUCUCCUGUUUGCUGUAAACAAUUCUGCAAAAUGUCAGCAUUAUCCAAGGUCACUGUGUUGAUCAUGAUGAAUCAAGAUAUCAAUAAGACCACUCUGUGUAUCAUUCCAAACACAGACAAAAUAUGAACAUUGUCCAAAUCACAAAAAUGACUAAGCAUCUCCCCACUUAAGUGCUAAUCUGAAAGACUGUUACUUAUUUACUAAGUAUAGCUAUAGCCUUCUUUCUAGGUUAGACUUAUUUAUAUACCCAAUCUUAGAAUUUCAUUUCCUUUUCCUGACAGCAUCUAUUAUAGACAAAAGUCCUGUUUUUCUGCACUUCCCCAAAUCACCUACCACAAACCCAAAUCCUGUUAAGCCUUUUCUAAUUCCUCUUAAGAGAAUUCCCUAAGGCUUCCAAUAGUGUGCACUGCCGUCCUCUGAGACAAGUAAUAACCUGACAGACAUGCUCCUAGUGAUCUUUGGCGGAGAGGCACUGAUAUGCAUAAUUUGAUUUGAAAAUAUCAUGAUUUUCUAGUGUUACAUACUAUUUAUACUGGUUUCUUUAUAUAAAUAGAUGAAAAUUUUAGUGUAGAAUUUAUCCUUUUCCUUACUUGUACAUUUUUAUAAAAGAUCACCAUCACAACAAAAACGCCACCAGAGGUGUUUUGUGUCACCAAAACCACAGUAGUCAGAAGCAUCAAAUGAUAAGAAAACUAUAAAAUAAAGGAGUGAUAGUAAGCAUAUAAGGCAGACAAGACUUGCAGAUAACCAAUUGCCCAUUGAAUUGGAUAACAGUGUAAUUUCUCAAGUGUUCACAAUAUGCCAGGCACUUCUGAUAGCCAAUUAUAUAAAAUAUGGACAUCUAUCUAACUAUAUUGCAAAGUGUUUUAAUUUCCAUUCAAUAAAUGAGAAAAUCUGAGGUUUCUAAAGUUUACUUACCUAUUUGGCAGAAGUGUCCCAUCUAAGAAUAGUACUGCUAGCACUCAAACUCGAGCUGUUAAGUAAGGUUCAUGUGUUUCUACAGCAGAAACAGAAAUCAUAUGGAUAUUUCUGAAUAAAACCAAAUGCCCUUUUUUUCUAAGUAUGAGGUCUUUAACAUUGGGGUUAUUCAUAAGAAUAGAGUGGCAUCUAUUCGGCAGUACUGAAAGAAGGGAGAACUACCAUAAAGGAUGUUUCAAGAAAUUCUCUCUUUCUACUUAAGGCUAACGGCCUCCUCAUAUGGUUAAUGAUUUCUUUCCUUUCUACUAGAAAAUCUAGGAAUCAGUAAAAUGAGAAUACAAGCAAUUACACAAAAAAUAAAUUUCCUAAACAGUAAAUUCCACAUGAAAUAAAUGCCUCAUUUACUUUUGAUUGAUAAAAUUAAAGAAAUGAGAGGAGUUUCUUAGAUGGAAGAAAUUCCUUUUAAUAUGUGCAAUGUAAGUAUAUAAUUAAAUGUUAUUAGCACUAAUCAUUUUGCAUUAGAAUAAGUUUUUAAAAGCUCAGGUACUUUCUACUCUUUCAAACAGCCACCUGCUUGUUAUGUAAAAGACUGGAACCACCCUCUCAUCAAAACUGGAGAACAAAGCAAGUGUCUGGAUCAGCUCUGACAUGGAGAAGAUUGACUUUUGCAAACAGAGCAAGGAAAGUAGCAUGGCUAAUAUUCGAACACUGCUUAGCUUUGUGUGGAGAAGACUAAGAAAGAAGCAUAAUUACUCCACCUGAGACAAUAGAAUUUUUAGUAGUUUAAGGAACUGCCAGUGGCUCUGAGUGAUCAGGGUAGAAAGAAGAAAAUGGGAAUUCACAGUGCACCACGUUGGCUGUCAGUGACAGAAGUCUAACUUGCUGGAUUAGGCAAAAACCAAGUUUCAUUGAGAUGGAAUCAUGAAAAGGGUAGGAGCAAUUCAGUUAUUAGGAAAACAUGGUUAUACAUGGAGUUGAGUAACUAAAUCAGUACCUAAAACACAGGACCAUUGAUUAAACACUGGCUGAAUAAAAGAAAGAGUGAACUAGAAACCAUAAUUUUACUAAGACUUUUUCUUUCAGCUUCAGUCUUCUUAGAGAUUCAUGCUGUCUGUCUGGGAAAAAAACACAGCUAUGACUAUUAACAAGGUUUACCUGUAUAAAUAGCUUCUGCUGCCAAAAAGGACUAAUGUUAACUCCUCAGUCACAGGUGGAAAAAUCCCAAGGAAAGACUGAACCACGUGGGGUCAGGUAGUCUGAUUUACUGUGGCCAGCAUGGCGAAGUCAUAGAAAAAUAUCAAAACACCCAAUUAGCCACAUGAACUUGGGAGAAAUGUGGAAGCAUGUGAGGGAAGGAAGAAUCCAUUACCUGAGAGUGAUGUCAUCAGUCUGCAAAGAGGGAUAUCAUUAUAGGUGGUCCUCGGAAACAUUUUUCUGUGUUUUUAUUAGUUCACUACAACUGCCUUAUCAAGUUAUCCACAGACUCAGUUUAAACCACAGAAUAUAGAAACUUGAAGUCCAAGGUUAGGGUAUCAACAAAGUUGGCUUCUGAGGUCUCUUACUGGUUUCUUCUUGUCUUCAACAUAGUUUUGCCUCUGUGCCUGUGUCCUAAUUGCGUCUUGUAAGGACACAAGUCAUAUUGGAUUAGAGUGAUCUCAUUUUAACUCAAUAACCACUUUCAGGACCCUAAGCAUAAUAAUCACAUUUUGAGGCACUGGAGGUUGGGGCUUCAUCCUCUGAGUUUAGGGCAGGUUAAAGGAGCACAGUUCAGUCAAUAACAAUCUCCUAGAAUAUCACCAAGGAUUUUCAUUGUAUAAAAGCUUUAUAAGCUGAUAUUUUUUACUAGGUACCAGAAAAAUUUAGGUGGUUUCUUUUUAGAUUAUGGUCAUUGUGGUUUGCCCAAAUAUCAUGUUUCCCCUUCUUUCUGGCUCUUAUAAGGUUUAUUUGCAAAAGUGAAACCAUUCGGAAGAAGUGUAUAGGACUUCAUGCUGUGAAAUUCUGUGAGGUCCUGUUUUAUAGCUGUAUUUUAUGUUAGUAACUUGUGUUUCUAUUUUUCUUUCUGUAAUUUGUGUCAUCUUAAUGUAUGCUGUAGGUUUCUCUGUACUUUGUACACAUCCUUUAUACAAUAAAGGGGAGUAUUGAUGU